This 450-nucleotide ribosomal RNA is filed under the name uncultured bacterium. RNAcentral's name for it is "partial 16S ribosomal RNA". It matches the Rfam family "Bacterial small subunit ribosomal RNA", at positions 354 to 796 of the family's 1533-position model. The record is from RNAcentral.
GUGGGGAAUAUUGGACAAUGGGCGAAAGCCUGAUCCAGCCAUGCCGCGUGUGUGAAGAAGGUCUUCGGAUUGUAAAGCACUUUAAGUUGGGAGGAAGGGCAGUAAGUUAAUACCUUGCUGUUUUGACGUUACCGACAGAAUAAGCACCGGCUAACUUCGUGCCAGCAGCCGCGGUAAUACGAAGGGUGCAAGCGUUAAUCGGAAUUACUGGGAGUAAAGCGCGCGUAGGUGGUUUUGUAAGUUGGAGGUGAAAACCCCGGGCUCAACCUGGGAACUGCCUCCAAAACUGCAUGACUAGAGUACGGUAGAGGGUAGUGGAAUUUCCUGUGUAGCGGUGAAAUGCGUAGAUAUAUGAAGGAACACCAGUGGCGAAGGCGACUACCUGGACUGAUACUGACACUGAGGUGCGAAAGCGUGGGGAGCAAACAGGAUUAGAUACCCGGGUAGUCC